This 498-nucleotide ribosomal RNA is filed under the name uncultured bacterium. RNAcentral describes it as "partial 16S ribosomal RNA". It matches the Rfam family "Bacterial small subunit ribosomal RNA", at positions 29 to 507 of the family's 1533-position model. The record is from RNAcentral.
AACGAACGCUGGCGGCAUGCCUAACACAUGCAAGUCGAACGAGAGCGACCGGUGCUUUCGCUCGUCAAUCCGUUAGCGAACGGGUGAGUCACACGUGGUUAGCCUGCCCCUCCGAGGGGGAUAACAAUAGCAGACGGAUUCUACAACCGCAUAGGUCUUCGACCUGGGUGGGCCGCAGGGGAAAUGAGCCGCAUGCUUGUGUAGAUGGCUGCACCCGCGUUGCAUCAGAUAGGUGGUGAGGUAACGGUCCACCAAGGCGGUGAUGCAUAACGGCCCUGAGAGGGAGAACGGCCAGAUGGGGACUGAGGCACAGCCGAAACUCCUACGGGAGGCAGCGGUCGGGAAUCUUCCGGAAUGGAGGCAAGGCUGACGGAGCAACGCCGCGUGAGGGAAGAAGGAGUUCGGAUGGUAAAGCGCUGUUGUUAGGGAAGAACUAAUGCUAGGUUAACUGUGAGGGCCAUGACGGUACCGGACGAAUAAGCCACGGCUAACUACGUG